RNAcentral lists this ribosomal RNA (497 nucleotides) under uncultured bacterium. Its description in RNAcentral is "partial 16S ribosomal RNA". It matches the Rfam family "Bacterial small subunit ribosomal RNA", at positions 28 to 507 of the family's 1533-position model. The record is from RNAcentral.
GAUGAACGCUGGCGGCGUGCCUAAUACAUGCAAGUCGAGCGAACGGACGAGAAGCUUGCUUCUCUGAUGUUAGCGGCGGACGGGUGAGUAACACGUGGAUAACCUACCUAUAAGACUGGGAUAACUUCGGGAAACCGGAGCUAAUACCGGAUAAUAUUUUGAACCGCAUGGUUCAAAAGUGAAAGACGGUCUUGCUGUCACUUAUAGAUGGAUCCGCGCUGCAUUAGCUAGUUGGUAAGGUAACGGCUUACCAAGGCAACGAUGCAUAGCCGACCUGAGAGGGUGAUCGGCCACACUGGAACUGAGACACGGUCCAGACUCCUACGGGAGGCAGCAGUAGGGAAUCUUCCGCAAUGGGCGAAAGCCUGACGGAGCAACGCCGCGUGAGUGAUGAAGGUCUUCGAAUCGUAAAACUCUGUUAUUAGGGAAGAACAUAUGUGUAAGUAACUGUGCACAUCUUGAGGGUACCUAAUCAGAAAGCCACGACUAACUACGUG